UUAAAAGCUCGUAGUUGAACCUUGGGCCUGGCUGGCCGGACCGCCUCACCGCGUGUACUGGUCCGGCCGGGCCUUUCCCUCUGUGGAACCCCAUGCCCUUCACUGGGUGUGGCGGGGAAACAGGACUUUUACUGUGAAAAAAUUAGAGUGCUCCAGGCAGGCCUAUGCUCGAAUACAUUAGCAUGGAAUAAUAGAAUAGGACGUGUGGUUCUAUUUUGUUGGUUUCUAGGACCGCCGUAAUGAUUAAUAGGGACAGUCGGGGG
RNAcentral lists this ribosomal RNA (263 nucleotides) under uncultured Ascomycota. Its description in RNAcentral is "partial 18S ribosomal RNA". It matches the Rfam family "Eukaryotic small subunit ribosomal RNA", at positions 622 to 888 of the family's 1831-position model. The record is from RNAcentral. Lineage: Eukaryota; Fungi; Ascomycota.